AACCUAAAGAAAAGAAGCAGUCGCACCUUGUCGUCUUCUCCUCUUUCCUUCCAUUUUUGGAUGACUACUCCACCUCCUUUCACCAUCACGGGUCUUUGCCACUCCAUUUCCGUGCAACGUUCGACUAUAGUCAACACAAAUGGCCAAAAAACUUUUGAAGUUUCUGAAAAGAUCGAUUUUAGAGAUUUGAUUCGGACUCCAAACGGCUAAUUCAAUCUCGAAGCCAGAGUCUCGGUCUCUCCAUUUCGGGCAAGAUCCGAAUCAAAUCAUGUGAGGUUCGUCCUAUUCUAUAACGUUUUCAAAACAACCCCUGACCAAGGGUUCGGUCUGGUUUUCCCACUCAAGAGUCCACAAACCCUAGUUUGUUCCGCCUAUAUAUUUGACAUAUAUCUUCAGAAAAAAAGGGAGGAGAGAAAAAAGGGGACAUCGGAAAAAUAAAUAGGGUUUUGGGAAUCUGGGUUAGGUAUCAAAAUCCCUGAUUAAGGCUUUCAUUCAAAUUUAAUCCCGUUUAAUCAAUAAAUCAAUUUUAAGUAGAGUUUCCAACAAAGUCCAGUUUGAUUACUCUUGUUUUAAAACCUUCUUUUGCGUCAUGUGCUUGGAUGUGUUGAGGUUUUCACUCGAAAAGAAUUCGAGCGUCAUUCGCGUUCGAGCACAGAUCCGAGACCCCGCGUCCUGUUCACUGCACACGAAGAAGGUCAGAAACCCUCCUUCUCUUUCUGCUUUAAGUUCUGUUCUAUGAAAACUUAUGUAGUUAGAUUAGCUUAAUUUAGUAUGGUUCUUAUUUGGUAUGGUGAUUAACUAUUUUGCUAAGUAUGUUUCACUAGUCCAGUUUGCCGAGACAUGAGAGUUGUAUCACGUAGUUAAUCUGCUUUAAUAGGAUUAUGUAUGUUAGUUUAGUUGGUUGUUUAGCAUGUCGAUUAUAACCAGACGAAUAAUGCUCUCUACAUUAUUUAAUAGUUGAACCUGCUCGGUAUGUCUAGAUUGGCUCAAUCUAUUAGGUCUUUAUGUGCAUCUGUCUUGUUUGGCAGUUUGAUUAGCUUGUUUUAUUUUGCUUAUGGAUUUAUUUUAGUGUCUGCUUACUAUAUGUUUGUGUAUAUUUAUGAAUUAGUUGUUAGUAUAGCAUCGUUAGUAGUUUAGCAUUACAAGUCUGUCCUUUAGUUAAUAUGGGGUUGUUUGUUUAUGUUGGUUUAAUGACCAUUGUAUGAUUAGUAUAGUCUAGCUUUAGUGUAGUGUUAGCAUUAGUUUAUGUUGUUAUGAUUAAUCUUUCAAAUAUGUCACUAGUUCAUAUUUAUGUUCAAAUGUUAGUAUGUAUAACUCCAUAAACCUGUUAAUUCCUUUUUUUAAAAAUAAGUGCCCAUGUUAAAUGUUAUUGCCUUAUUUAGUUUAGUCUGAGUCUGUUAAUACCCAUGUUAAUCUUAAUAGUCCUUAUCAUGUGUUAGUAGUAUACUGAGGUUGUAUUUAAGAAGUCAAGUUGGGGUUUAGAUAUGCAUAUAGGAGAUUGAAUAAAAAAAUGCUUAAUUGACAUUUAAAGUUACUUUUAUACCUGUUAGGAUGAUCCAUAGUUCAUUUGGAAUAAAGCAUGUCUUUAUAUGUGAGAAAUGAUCAAUUAUGCCCUUGUAUGCCUCUGUUUUGCCCAAAAUUAGUUUGUAUGUGCCAAUAUUUGAUUCAGACUAUUCUAUUUUCAAAGGGAAAUAAAUCUGUGGUUUGAGUACUUGCUUGAAAGACCCAAAAAUGGCAUGAACCUUUUUUUGUAAAUUGAACAUGGCAUGUCUGUUUAAAUGAAGAUUCAAUCCUGUAUUUAGCACAAUUUGUUGUGUGUUUGAAAGCAUGCCUUAUAUUUAAUUGGAUUGUUUACUUUUUCUGAAACUGCCUAUAUGAUUCCAUGAUUGAACUGCGCAUGACUAGCCUAUAUGACUCCAUGGCUGAGCUAAACAUGACUAAGGCAUCUUCAUAUCUACCCUCCCCUUUUCCCCUGUACCUGUACAUGUUUCUUCUUCUUCAGAAAUACUUGCAUGUUGUCUUAAAUGCACUGUAUGAACCUGCAAAGAGACUGUUUCCUCUUAAGUUAUCAAAGAUUUAGCAAGCAUGAUACCUAGUCUUGUCUGUUUAGCUCCUUCUAUGGAAUCCAUGUCUACUGUAUCUCUUUAUGAUUAUGCCAAGACUGUUAUUAAGACCAAAUCACUCGGCUUACAUGUCCAUUUGCUAAGAGAAUCUGAAAGACUGUCCCUUUUCUAUUUGUACACAUUUAGUUGACUACACCAAAUGCACAUGACCCUAUUAUGAGACACUUGUUAUAAUGUUAAUAUAUGUUCUAACCUGAUUAUUGCACUACUGUUUGUCUGUUGCCCCCUUGAUGUUUAAGCUUGGGUUUACUUUUCUUUGCAUUUAUAAUCCGGAUUGAGUUUUGUUGUGUCACGAGAAUUAGCUAAAAAUAAAUCAGUACCUAUGUGGUCACGUUAAAUUCAUGUUAUGUAUGCAUUUAAAACCAUGAUAUCCUCGGGUAAAUUCCCUUGUCACUAAUCUCUUCAUUUUUUUUAAAUGUACACUUCGGAGCGAAAUGGAGUCUUUGUAAAGACUCAUUGUCCGAGCGGUCUCGUCUGAGACCAUGCUGCCUCGAAGCCUCUGUCCCUCAUUACUCAUUUCCUCUCUCUCUCUCUCUCUCUUCCAUCUGAACAAAAAAAAAAAGAAAUGAAAUGAGUGCAAGGAAGCUGCAUCCGUCAUAACUUUCUUACAAUCUUAUUUUUUUUACUUGUGGGAUUGUCCCUUGAAUAUGCUGGUUCUCUUGGAAGGAUAUAGCCUAGAAUGCUAUCAAUUUAGAAAGGGUAGAUUAUGGUGCCUAUAACGUUUUGAUGUUCUAGAAUUGAAGUAUCCAUAACCCUUACGUCGUUGAUAGUCUUGCUAGGAAGGAAACGUGGUCUAAUUAUUUCUUCCUUAACUUAUUGAAAACUGAUUUUUUUUUUUUUUAAGAUUUGGACAGCUUCGUUGUGUUAUUAAAAAGUAAAUUUUCGUUAUGGUGAAAGUUUUUUUUCUGAAAUAUCAAUUGCAAGAAGAGUAGGUUGAAGUUCUUUUUAAUAAUCAAGCUAAAUUAAAAGAGUAGUUUUCUUUUGUUUUACCCGAAGUUAAAUUUGAAGAAGGGUUAACCAAUUGAGAUUAGCUUUUGGCAUUAUCAGAUCUUAUUUUAAACAUGCAUCUUUCUCCUUCACUGUAUUUUUAGAGCAAACCCGUAUUCCAACAUCAUCGACAUAUUACUAUAACGUAUUUCUAACUCCAUGCUCAAAUCUAUCAAGUUUCUUUAAAGUAGUUAUUUAUGUAUAACUCCUUAAAUUCAUACAAGAUGUUACGAAAUACUUUUGUUUGGAAACAAACGAUGCUAAGAUAUAUGGUUUAUAAAAAUGAUUUCAGUCCUUGUGAAAAUAAUUGUUUCUUUGUUUAAAUUCAGAAAUGCAUUACGUUAUUAUUUGAAAACUCUCUACCUAUAUAUCUUUUUAUGAAAUAUCCUUUUCUUAAAUUAUUUAUAGUCUUAUUUUAAAUAGCAUUAUUAUAUUUUAUAACCUUAGCAACACUUACAGGCUAUUUUCUUAAAUAUUGCAAAAUGUUAUAUUCGCAUUUUUUAGCCUUAAAUUAAUUAGCAUAAGUUCGGUCGGUUAACCAUUGUUAAUGAAUCUUAAAGGAUGUCUAAUACCUUCCCUUUAGAUUAGUUGAACCCUUACCUAGAUCUUUUAGUUUCGUAGACUUUAAAACGGAGUUAACUUUAGAAAAUAACAUUAAUUAACCUUAGGUGCCCUAAUUCACCAUAAUAAUUAGGUGGCGACUCCCUAACUUUAAUUAACCCCGAAAUUACCGGGAUGUUGUAAACCAUUUUGACUCCGGUUAAAAUGGGGUAUAACAGUCAGGUCUCGCUUUUCUUAAUCAUUGCAAGCUCCUCCUCCAUUGCGGCUUGCCACUUGGGAUCUGAAAUGGCUUCCUCGAAUCCAGAAGGCUCUAAAUCGCCACAUUGCAUCUCUGGUAUAUAUCAGAGAGCAACCUUGUUCCUCUCACAGGUUGAUGAUCAAUAUUCUUAUUAGAAUCCAGCAGAUUGCUUGUAAUCUGCUUUUGCUUACCUUCUUCCCAAUCCCAUUGCUCAUUCUCCAUAAAAUUACACAUCUUUGCUUAUCACAAUUUUUCCUAUUUGAGGUUGCAAAAUUCUGUAAGCUUUAGAGAUUGUGCUAUAGCCGAUAAACACUCCGGGUUGAGCCUUCUUGUCCAACUUGUCUCCCUUAACCUAUGGAAUAUAAGAGAAACACAACUAACCAAAUAUCUUUAAGUUUUUCAAGGAAGGCUUAUAUCCAUGCCAUGUCUUAAAAGGUGUCUUUCCCUCCACUGCUUUUGUAGGCAACCUGUUCAACAAAAACACAGCAGUACUAGCUGCUUCUGCCCAUAAAUUCUUUGAUAGGCCCUUCUCAUAUAACAAGCACCUCAACAUCCCCAUUAUAGUCUUAUUCUUCCUUUCACUUACCCCAUUUUGUUACAGAGUAUAUGGGGCAGUGAGUUGAUGCUCGAUGUUGACACCCAAUUUUGUCCCUCCCUUAUUUAAUUUUAUUCACUCGGGCAUCUAAAUUUAUUGACGAGCUAAAUACUUUAUUUUCACUACUAUUAUUUUCACUACUUUUAUUUUCAACAUCACGAGCAUUACUUUAUCACAAAUUUUUAAAUAUUCGUCAUCGUUUCAUUUUUUUCGGUUUGGAAUCGUUAAAUUAAUUACAAGACAACACUUUGUUAAAUCCUUAUUUUCUACAUAUUAAUUAUUAAUUGUCAUCACAUAGUAUAUAUUGUACUAGUUAUUAAAUUAGAAACCCAAGAAUAAUUAAAUAGAGGAAGAAUCAACAAUUUUCACCUCAUAAGCAAUUGCUCGGAAGUAUAUCAAUGUUGGACUCAUUUUGAAGCUCGUAUUUUAAAACAACGUAUUAUAAUUUUUAUUUCAUCAAAAUAUUAUUUUACAAGGGGUAAAUUCUUGACAAUAGCUAUCUACCCCAAAAGAAAAAAAAGAAAAAAAAAAGAAAAAAAAAAGAAAGAAAGAAAACUUUGCAUUUGCAUUCCUCUUUCCACGCCACACAUCUCCCCUGAUUUCUUUUUCCCUUUUUCUUUAAUAGGCUCCACAUGCUUCUUCCUUUUUUGACUGCAUUUCACUCAGGCUCCCUUCCAUUUCUUCUUGUCCUCCCACGCCUAUGUCCUCUCUACUCUCUCUGUCUCCCCCCCCAAUUUCUGGACAGAAUUUUAACAUUUCAACGGCUCUCUCUUCUCUUCCUCUCUUUAACAAAAAUCCUAAUUUUCUACAUCUAUAAAUACUUUAUUAAAUGUUUUAGCAGGGGGGGAUUUUUUUGGAACAUCUUGAAACACUACCAUAUCAAAUACAUUCUCUGCACAUUUUAAAAGGGGAAGAACCUUUAAUUUCUAGAGUUACUCUCUCUGUCUCAGUAGACUUUAGCAGUGACAGAGAUUUCGGAAUUCAUUUGAGUCAAGUUUCAAAUUUAUUCAUAACAAAGGAGUAGAUCUGAAGAGGACCUCAAAGUCUUUGUUCACUGCACCCACAAAAGGUAAAUUCGACUCUAUUUUAGUUCAUUUACUCCCUCCGUAUCUAGAGUCUUUGCUUAUUUAGGAAAAAUCCAUGUUGAUGAUUUUAUUUUUGUGUGUUCGGAUAAUGAAUGUUUUAAGCAUGACUAUGAUUCUACUUCAGUUAAGUUAAUUUGUUUUUUCUUCUGCUACCUGCCAUGCUGAAAUUUUCUUGAAAUCCUAUUCUUUGUUCCUUUCAUUUAUCACGUGGAUGAGUAUAAAUGUUAUCAUGACUUAGAAUAUUUACUUUGAUAGGUUGUUUAACUUUAUUCAUCCUUUUAAUCACAUGUAUGAAGGUUUAAUGAAAAUGUUACUGUCUCGGGUCAUAUUUCUAUGUGUUACUGUACCGAUUUAUAUAUUUUCAUAGGGUAGAAGUAUUUAGAUCUUUGUUCAAAGCUUUUAAGUCAUGAUACUUUCCUUACAAACUCAAAUGGACAUUAUUAUACUAGUAGUAAUGGUUAAUCUUUUAAUCGACACCAAAAAAUGAUCCAUGAUCUCCUCGCUCGUGUAAUUCAUACUGUCUUGAUGCAUUAUGGCCUGAGUCCUAGUCGGUGAUGUUAAUUAGUCUAUCUCGCCAUGUCUGGGUAUAUGUUGCUGUCUCUGUUUCUUUACAUCUGGUUGCUAUUUCAACUUCAUUUUUUUUUCUCUCCGUUAAUCUGAGUCCGCAUGUCUGGUAGGAAUAUUUAGUGUCACUGUUUUCCAGUUAAAAUUCCUCAUGAUUAGGUAGAAUUUAAUCUCUUUCAUUUCGGGUAUGCCAUCAGAGGUAUAGCAAUCAGGUGGCUUGCUUAAUUUGUGUUAAUUGAUUCGGACAGCCUUAUAAAACAUGUACAUAAUCUACUGAUUUGUUUUGAACUCAUAUUUUACAUGUUUAAUCUUAUUCGUCGAGCAGGUACUAAUCCUUUUCUUUUAUUUUUAUUUUUUGCAUGACAUCUCGCAUAUGAGUCCGGGCGACUCGUCGUCUUCUCCCACAUUCGGUGUUGGGCCAAGGCCCAACGAAACAUCACUCCUCCCUCUGUCUAGAUCUGUUCGCAGCAAUACAAAAAAAGAAAAUCUGGGCCGAAGCCCAACAGCGAACAGCCGCAACAGACCACAUCAGUUUUCUUUGGAAAAUGGACUGAGCCCAUUUACAUCAUACCUACUCCUCUAUUUUUAUUUUUGUAUGCAUUUAAUGUGUAUUGUAUGACUAACAUUUUUUCUUGUUUGUUAAUUUAGAUAAACUUUAGUGACAUUAAGGGUUUUAGUUUAGUAAUGGGUAGUUGAUUCCACAAAUCACAUUCACCUCUAUUUUCUAAACUAUUUAUGGUAUCUAUAAUAUUUAUUUGAAUAAUUGAUUUUCAACUAGUAUGCCUAUAUAUUUUUGGGUUAAAGGAAUCAUUUCUCAUUAUUACCAUCUUAGGAAUUUCAAAAUGUCACUAACACACAAAAUAUGAAACCAAUUGUAUUUUAUAAACAUUUUUAAGAUUUACCCAAUUAUACAUAUUUUAGCCGAUAAAAAAAAUAGAAAGAAAUUCAUGGCCUUUUUCAUCAUAUUUAAGAACAUAAGUCCAGGCAUUUCUAUACCAUCAUAUUCAUAUAAUAUCGUUUUUACUUAAAGAUCACUUUUGUCAAAUUAUCGUUUAAAAGGCUUGUUAUAUCCCGUGUUUGCGCAUUCGGAAAAAUUUGGAAUAAUCUUGCUUGUAGGAAAUGAGGGCUAUAUUUGAUUUUAUUUCAUAUAUGUGUGUUAUUCAUGAAAAAUAUUGAUGCGGAAAUACGGAAGAAGGCCAAGGGCGAAAUUGGAAUUUCGGGAAUUAGUUUCGGGAAUUACAAAUAAAAUCCACAAUGAAUUGGGCUCAAAAAAAAAUUAAUGGAAUUGAGGCCCAAGAGCUAUGGUGUGGCCAAGCCCAAGCCCAUGGGAAUUCUUCCAUGUGGCAUUUUAAAUAAAAAGGGUCAAAAUUGUAUAGGAUUCACUAGAACAUUUCAAGACAACAAACAAGAGAGAGAGAGAGCCAAAGACUAAGAGGGUUUCGGCUAGAGAGAGGAAGAGAAAGAAAAAAAUUUAGCUCAUCAAUUCUUGGUCCAAAAAUCAUAAUCUUCUAGUUUUCCUAUUAAGUUGGAAACCCUCUUCAAUGUGAUACAAAUUUGGAAGCAAAAGAGUACUUUUUUUACAAAGUGGAAAUUCUUGAAGAAAAAGGUAAGAAUUUUAUCUCUUUUGUUAUGGAAGAAUCAUAUGUGUUAAAAUGGUUAAAAUUGCAUGAAAAACCAUGGAAUUGUGAUGUGUGUGUGCAUGGCGUGUGUGUGUGUGUGUGAAGCAUGUAUGGCGUGAGCCAUAAUGGUAUGGGGAGGUGAGUUAAAUUUUAUUUAGCUUGCUAGUUGUGUCGUUGUGGCAUUUAUGACGUAAAUAAAGGUUUAACGAAGUGAGUUGGCAUUGAAGUUGGUUGUAUGUUGAUAUGGGAAAAUUAUAUGAUUUUUGUAUAUUCUUACAUAAUUGUGAAAGUAAGACUUUAAAUGUGGAUUAUGGUUGUUGUUAAUAAAUUUGGGAGGAAACAAUGCGAGUUAGUAGGUUCGUCGUAGUCGUUGACGUUUCGGAUAGAAUAUGGAAAGUGGCGGAUUACUUGAAUUCAUGUAUAUUGCAUGGAAUAUUAUUGGAAUACGUUUGAAUAACCUUGAAUGAGUAAAUGAAUAUGAUAAUGUGGAUAUUAGUUGAUAUUGUGGAGUUUGAAUGGAAGUUGUCGCUUUAUGUAGAAAGGAAGAAUAUUGAUGCUAGAACCUAUUUUGUUGUGAUUCUUGAUUCAUUUGGUAUUGUGGGGUUGUUGUUGUUGAUAUUGAGCUGAGCUAAGCCUCGGGGAUGUUAUAUGUAUAGGGGAAGUGCUGCCGAAAUUUCGGUAGACAAAUAUAAAGUUAAAUGAAUUCUUAAAGUCUCGCAAUUCCUAAUUGGUAACUUUGACCAUUUGUAGAUUCUGAGCGAAACGGGAUUUGGAGUUUUGGACGAGCGUAAGACGUAUAUAAGGUACAGAUACCAAUGAUCCACCACUGUAGGCUCCACUUUCUGCUAUUUCGGAGUACUCCCUUUUGAUCCGGAGUCCACUUUUGGUACAUACAUCUUUUGCUAUGUAUAUACUUCUGUAUAUCUGACUAUUUGGGUACGGCGGGGCCCUAUCCCGUCAUAUGUCUUCGUUUUGGAUUUGUAGAGGCCUGUAGUCAUAUAUGUGGGUCGUGGGUCCUAUGUGUACUCAUUUUGGUUAUGAUUUAUGUCUUAAUGCGGUCCUAUUUGUUAUGGCGGCCAAACUGGCCCAUAUGUUUGCAUCAGUAUAUAUGAUCGGCGAUGUGUAUUCCGCCGCUCCUUUUGGCUUUGGAUAUGAUAUCUUUACAAGCGUGACCUCUUAAGAUAAUAUUUGAUUUUAAAUUUGUUUUAAUGAUUAAUAUGAGAUCUGAGAUAAUCUAUAAUACGACGGUUUGGUAUGUUUGUCUGUCCGGGUGCCCAAGUAGGGCUCCAGUCGCGGCUCACGGGGCUGGGUCGUGACAAAAGUGGUAUCAGAGCGGUUUGUCCUCGGAAUGUCUACAGGCCGUGUCUCGUAGAGUCUUGUUUAUCGGUGUGUUGUGCACCACAUCUAUAAACAGGAGGCUACAGGGCAUUUAGGGUGAUCCCUUUCUUUGGAUCUUAGAUCGUGCGAUAGAGCCAGCUGUAGGAAAUGAAUUCCUUUUUUUUUCUAACCUUUGAUUGCAGCUGGAGAGCGGUAUCGACGUAAGACAGCGACUGCUGACAUUGGAAGCUACACAGUACUCAGGUAAACAAUGGUAUGAAAGACGUAUGUUGGGUAAGGUAUUCUGAAGCACGAUUAAAACAUAAAGUCGAACAUUGAAAAGAGAAAUAAACAUGAACAGUGUAGCAGGUGCAGUUGAGUUGGGCAUGUGAGGUAAGCCUCAGCAUAUUUAUACUUUUAUUUGAAAUUGUUAGCCCCGUGUGGCUAUAAGGCGAUAUGAUAUGAUAUGUAUAUACGUAUAUGUGUUGGCCCUGCGAGGCAUGGUUGGUAUUUCCUGUGUACAGGUUUUGGGAUAGUAAGAAAUACAGAGGAACCUCUGCCCAAAUUUUUCUAGAAAUACGAAAAGGGAAAUGAGAUAUAAAUUCUUAACCUGUCUUGAAGGUCGAUACCGAUAGGGUAAAUCUACUAUGUUGGAUUAAAGUUUAAGAGAUACUCUCCAUGUCAUUUGUAAGAAGCAUUACCCUUAUUUGGGAAAUUUUAAUUCGAGAAAGCAUAUAUGAGCAGCAAAUUUGCAAUUCAUUUGAACGGACCAGAAUACGUCCCAACCACAUCGUGCUUUAGAAAAGCCCAUGCUGAAGGGCAAAAAUGUCCAACGAUUAAGUUUUAUUUUAUUGGAAGGAUACGAAGUGUAUGACAGGUAGUUGAGAAUUAAAUGGUUCGCUCACGACUCAAAAAGAAAAAUAUAAAUAUGGUGGUAAUUAUGUGAAUUAAGAUUCCGUGAAGUUCGUCGGACUUCAGUUUUAUUUUGCUGGUAGUUGGAGAAUGCCUUAUAGUAACAUUUUAUGAAUUUUUAUCGACUAAUCGGAGAUGGAAUUUGUGGAAUGAAAACCUAAAUUUGUGGACUGUCUAGAAUUAUAUAUAUAUAUAUGCAUGAAGGUGAAUAUUGAGGAUUUACAGGGGGCGACACGGUGACUAUAUAGUCCGAAAAGUAAAGGAAUUCUCUCUAGAUCGGGGUGGAACCCGCUACGAGAACGUUUUGAAAAUACGUAAGACCCCGAUUUGCCUUAAAUUAUGUGAUAAAGGUUGUGCGGGGAAAUUUAUGCCAUUAUACCGGCCUUAACGCGUCUAAAUGCAUUAAAGUUGUAAGGUUAAGCGUGCCAGGGCCAGACCAAUUCUGGGAUGGGUGACCCCCUGGGAAAUGUACAAAAAUUUUCGCAAAUAUGGAUACAAGAGGCGAAUAGGAAAGUUGGAGUAACCUAAAAGGAAAUUAGGGUACGUGGAAUGAUCAGAAACUUUAUAAAGGUCGCGUGGGCUGAGACGGAUUAGAUUGGUGAAAAAUAAGAAAGAGCAAUGCAGCUCUAGAAUUAGAGUGAGUUGAACCAAUGAUUGCAGAUGUCUUGUGAAAGAAAUGACAGUGAUAUAUAUAUAUAUAUAUAUAUAUAUAUAUAUAUAUAUAUAUAUAUAUAUAUAUGUAUGUAUGUAUAGGACCCCAUUUAUGAUUUUGCCGAUCGAUUGGAGAACCUUAAUAGACAGUGCUAUAAUAUAUGGAAGACAUUAACAGAAUAUAAUUUAUGAGACAAAGUGAAAGGUAUGAUACAGAUGUUAUGAGAUAAACAGAUAUUGAUUUUGCUCUGGGUUGAGAUUGGAAGAUGCUAAUACGGCGAUAUUUUGGAAAGAAAAGAGAAUAAUUGAGUGGAAGGUAAGGAGACCAAAGGGGGGUGAACCGUAAGGAACGUAAUUAAGCAGAGCUCCUAAAAGAGUCGACGGGCAAGGCACGAAAUUACUUGCGAAAAACGAACUGGAAUGUAAUAAUGCAGGGCAAAAGAAAAACCUAUGGCAUGGAAUGAUGAAUCAUGCGAAUAUUGAGUAAUUUGACUAUUGAGAAAAAUAGAACAACGGAUAAGGGACGGGUAUGAAGGAAGGAUAUGAUUAUUAAAGGAUAAAUUGCUAUAUUAAUUAAAUUAUUCGAGUGCCAGCUAUCAGAUAAGAUUUUGUACUAUAUAACCGAGAGUUCUCAUCGCCUCGUGAUUUGGUUAAGGUCUUGUACGAAGAAAACCAAGUUAUAGAUUAGAAAGAAAAGACACGGAUACGGUAUAAGUAUAACCCCAAAGGGGGGAAAGCGGAUGCAAGUGAAGUAAAGUAAGUACAAAUGGAAAUAAUUGACACACAAGAUCAAAGCGAUAAAGAAUUAGCCUAGGUCUUCGACAUCAACUGAGGUACAUAAUUUUUGGGAUUGGCCGAAUAUCACAGGAGGUCUGUGGAGAACUUUGUGUCUGCUACGACACUAUUAUCGAAGCUAACUCAGAAGGCAGUGGAAUUUCAGUGAACCGGUACUUUUGAAUGCAGUUUCCUGUUGCUGAAGGAAAAAUUAAUUACAGCUCCAGUCCUAGUUCUUCCUAAAAGGGGGCAGACGGGAAAGUUAUUUAUUAUGAUGCUUCCGGUAUUGGGACAGGUUUUGCAUUAGUACAGCAUGGUCGGAUUAUAGUCUAUGUUCCCCGACAGCUCAGACCGCACAAGAGAAAUUAUUUCGCUUAUGACCUGGAAUUAGCUGCGGUGAUUCAUGUUUUAGAGAUGUGGCGGCAUCACUUGCAUGGGGUCCACGUUGAUAUUUAUACGGACCAUAAGUGCCUCCAGUAUAUUUUAAGAAAAAGGAGCUGAAUUUGCGACAGAGAAGAUGGUUCGAAUUAUUUAAAGAUUUUGAUGUUAAUAUGUUGUAUCAUCCUGGAAAAGCUAGUGUGGUAGUUGACGUACUUAGCCGCAAGUCCGUGGGCAGUUUGAUUGAUAUACAGUCUGAUAAGAAAGAAUUGGUUCGUGACAAUUUAUCAGUUAGCCAGCUUCGGAGUCCGUUUGGUAGAUUCUGGAGAUACUGGAAUUUCUGUUCGAGAAAUUGUUGAGUCAUCAAUUAUGGUAGAGGUAAAACAGCGCCGGUUCGAGGAUCCUAUUCUGGUAUAGUACAGAGAUACAACCCUUGACAAGAAAAGAUCCAGUUCGAGGUUUCACCUAAUGGAUAUUGCUAUACAGAGGCGGAUUAUGUGUGCCUGACGUUGCAGGGCCGCAAUGGCCAAUUAUGGGCGAAGCACAUAAGGUUCGACAUUCUAUUCAUUCUGAAUCCACGAAAAUGUACCAUGAUCUUAAAUGUUUAUACUGAUGGGACAGUAUGAAAAGGGACACUGCAUAGUUCGCUGGCCAAUGCCCAAAUUGUCAGUGAGUCAAGAUCGAGCAUCAAAAGCCCGGCGGAUUUCUACAGGAAAUGAAAUUCCAGCUUGGAAAUGAGAAAUGAUUAAUAUAGACUUCAUUAUGGGUUUACCGCGCACUGCACGCAGGUAUGAUUCUAUUUGAGUUAUUGUUGAUAGAUUGACGAAAUCAGCUUGUUUUCUCCUGGUCAGGACUACUUAUUGGGCUGAGAAUUAUGCCAGAUGACAUAUUAAAGAGAUAGCAAGAUUUCACGGAAUCUCUGUAUCUAUUAUAACCGACAGAGGUGCCCAGUUUACGGCUAACUUCUGGGGAUCGUCCCAGGGAGGGCUGAGAACUCAUGUGAGUCAUAGCACAGUAUGUCAUCCUCAGUCCGACGGACAGGCCGAGCGUACUAUUCAGACACUGGAACAUAUGCUACGGGUAUAUGUUAUUGAUUUGAAGGAUAGUGGAGGUGAUCAUUUACCGUUAACUGAAUUUGCUUAUUAUAAUAAUAGUUAUCGUUCCCUUAUCCAGAUAGCACCAUACGAAAUACGAGACCUUAUACAGUAGAAAAUGCAGAUUUCCGAUUGGUUGGUUCGAUGUGGGCGAAACUAAAUUAAUUGAGUCAGAUGUGACUAAUCGCCUGUGAAGGGCGUAAUGGGAUUCGGUAAAAGAGUAAGCUUAGUCCGUGGUACAUCGGGCCGUAUCAGAUUAUUCGGAAGAUAAGCGAGGUCGCCUAUGAGUUAGAUUUACCAUUUGAUCUGGAGAAACUACAUCCGGUAUUCCUUGUAUCCAUGCUCCGUAAUGUGUCGGUGAUCCUUCCAGAAAACUUUCGGUGGAUGAUAUUCGGGUGACGGAAGACUUGUCUUAUGAAGACCUGUGGCUACUCUGGAUCGUCAGGUGAGGAGGCUACGUACCAAAAAAAAAAUAUACCCUCCGUUAAGGUCUUUUGGCGAAACAAUGAUAAAGAAGAAAUGACAUGGGGAGCAGAGGACGAAAUGAAGAAAGAGUAUCCCCACUUGUUUCCUACGCCCACAGGUAAUCUAAGCUCUUAAGUUGGUUAUAUUGAUUGACAAAUGACUUAUGUGUGCUAUUCCUAAAAAGAAACUCCCCCACCAUAUUUAUAAAACCCUAUAAGGCUAAUUUAACAUUCGAGGACGAAUGUUCUAAAGGGGGGGAGAAUGUUAUAUCCCGUGUUUGCGCAUUCGGAAAAAUUUGGAAUAAUCUUGCUUGUAGGAAAUGAGGGCUAUAUUUGAUUUUAUUUCAUAUAUGUGUGUUAUUCAUGAAAAAUAUUGAUGCGGAAAUACAGAAGAAGGCCAAGGGCGAAAUUGGAAUUUCGGGAAUUAGUUUCGGGAAUUACAAAUAAAAUCCACAAUGAAUUGGGCUCAAAAAAAAUUAAUGGAAUUGAGGCCCAAGAGCUAUGGGGUGGCCAAGCCCAAGCCCAUGGGAAUUCUUCCAUGUGGCAUUUUAAAUAAAAAGGGUCAAAAUUGUAUGGGAUUCACUAGAACAUUUCAAGACAACAAACAAGAGAGAGAGAGAGCCAAAGACUAAGAGGGUUUCGGCUAGAGAGAGGAAGAGAAAGAAAAAAAUUUAGCUCAUCAAUUCUUGGUCCAAAAAUCAUAAUCUUCUAGUUUUCCUAUUAAGUUGGAAACCCUCUUCAAUGUGAUACAAAUUUGGAAGCAAAAGAGUACUUUUUUUACAAAGUGGAAAUUCUUGAAGAAAAAGAUUCUGAGCGAAACGGGAUUUGGAGUUUUGGACGAGCGUAAGACGUAUAUAAGGUAUGUAAGGCUACCCAUUCCUUCUUUUGGCAUGUCUUAGGUAUACUGGGUCGAUAUUGGAGCCCCGAGGGCAAUUCUGUUCCUAGAAAUCCGAAUUGGAAAUUGAGUACUAUUCACACAAUUGAAUUGAAUUAUAAAACUCAUAUUUUGUUGAAAAGUGAUCAAAUGUCCGGAACUUUUGUAAAUGUAAUCGAAUCACUUCGAAACUUCCAUGUAUGAUUCCGUAGACCCCAAAUGUCCGUGAUUCAUGUCCGCCACCUCGACUUGACCCGAGGUGGGCCCGCUAGCAUCGAGGGUCCCUUGUUUGCUCUAUUAGUCUCAUUUUGUACAAUGUCGGCAAAGCACUUUUGUUUAUGAAUUUUGACUAUCAUAAAGUAAUGUUUUGACUGCCACGAUAUUCUAAAUUAUAUUUUGAACCAUAAAUACUACUUUGGAAGUACUUUUGUGAAACGAACCCCGUAUUGACUAAUUGUUCGAACUACUUGACUAAUGAGUUAGCAUAUGAUAUUAUCAAGUUUCAAAAGGUGUUUUGAUAUAUAAAUUGCAUUGUUUGCUCACGACUCCGCUCGUGCCCCUAUUAUGACUUCGUUCACCGGUUCCCGGGCCGGCUAUGGUUCGUGCGCGCUAUGAUAAAUUUGGCCGUAUGCUGUGUUACGGUUCCCGAGACCUCGCCAUAGGGCCGGGUUCCGUUUGGAGUUAUGCUGUGAUAUGGCUGGUGAUAUGUUAUGAUGAUAUGUGUGUUCGGGGAUGUACGGAGAUUUGAACCUUCUGGUGUUAUGCUGUGUGUGGCACCAGCGUCGGAGUGGUGACCACAUUCCUGAGCUUUUGCAUGAUUUUAUCUGCAUUAGGUACAGAUACCAGUGAUCCACCACUGUAGGCUCCACUUUCUGCUAUUUCGGAGUACUCCCUUUUGAUCCGGAGUCCACUUUUGGUACAUACAUCUUUUGCUAUGUAUAUACUUCUGUAUAUCUGACUAUUUGGGUACGGCGGGGCCCUGUCCCGUCAUAUGUCUUCGUUUUGGAUUUGUAGAGGACUGUAGUCAUAUAUGUGGGUCGUGGGUCCUAUGUGUACUCAUUUUGGUUAUGAUUUAUGUCUUAAUGCGGUCCUAUUUGUUAUGGCGGCCAAACUGGCCCAUAUGUUUGCAUCAGUAUAUAUGAUCGGCGAUGUGUAUUCCGCCGCUCCUUUUGGCUUUGGAUAUGAUAUCUUUACAAGCGUGACCUCUUAAGAUAAUAUUUGAUUUUAAAUUUGUUUUAAUGAUUAAUAUGAGA
Lycium barbarum (goji berry) is the source of this 15489-nucleotide long non-coding RNA. RefSeq lists it as uncharacterized. The record is from RefSeq and is a predicted model, not a curated record. The transcript has 4 exons. Lineage: Eukaryota; Viridiplantae; Streptophyta; Magnoliopsida; Solanales; Solanaceae.